UUGAACUACGUCGGUAUUUCCCCCUAGAGGAAGGGAUGAUGUAGCAUAUCUACGGUAGGUAUUUCCCUCAGUGAUGAGACCAAGGUUAUUGAAACAGUAGGAGAAUCACGCAACACUAUGUAAACGGUACCUGCACACAAACAACAAAUACUUGCAACCCGACGUGUAAGAGGGGUUGUCAAUUCCUCCCGGGAAAAAGAUAGAUAAAUUUGUAGUAGAUUGGAUAAAUAGAUCUAGCGGAAACACGAAAUAAAAUAAAUAAUAAUAAUUGCAGCAAGGUAUUUUUGGGAUUUUGGAUUAAUAGACCUGGAAAUAAAAGCAAAUAAAAAUAGAUCUCGAAGGCAAAUAUGAUAAAGAAGAGACCCCGGGCCGUAGAUUUCACUAGUGGCUUCUUUCGAGAAAAAUAGCAUACGGACUAAGGAUCACUGGACAGGGGUCAAGAACAUCCUGAAAUACCUGAAAAGGACUAAGGAUAUGUUUCUCAUUUAUGGAGGUGACAAAGAGCUCGUCGUAAAUGGUUACGUUGAUGCAAGCUUUGACACUGAUCCGGAUGACUCUAAGUCACAAACCGGAUACGUAUUUAUAUUGAACGGUGGAGCUGUCAGUUGGUGCAGUUCUAAGCAAAGCGUCGUGGCGGGAUCUACAUGUGAAGCGGAGUACAUAGCUUCUUCGGAAGCAGCAAAUGAAGGAGUUUGGAUGAAGGAGUUCAUAUCCAAUCUAGGUGUCAUACCUAGUGCAUCGGGUCCAAUGAAAAUCUUUUGUGACAAUACUGGUGCAAUUGCCUUGGCAAAGGAAUCCAGAUUUCACAAGAGAACCAAGCACAUCAAGAGACGCUUCAAUUCCAUCCGCGAUCAAGUCAAGGAGGGAGACAUAGAGAUUUGCAAGAUACAUAAGGAUCUGAAUGUUGCAGACCCGUUGACUAAGCCUCUCUCAUGAGCAAAACAUGAUCAGCACCAAGACUCCAUGGGUGUUAGAAUCAUUACUGUGUAAUCUAGAUUAUUGACUCUAGUGCAAGUGGGAGACUGAAGGAAAUAUGCCCUAGAGGCAAUAAUAAAGUUGUUAUUUAUAUUUCCUUAUAUCACGAUAAAUGUUUAUUAUUCAUGCUAGAAUUGUAUUAACCGGAAACUUAGUACAUGUGUGAAUACAUAGACAAAUAGAGUGUCACUAGUAUGCCUCUACUUGACUAGCUCGUUGAAUCAAAGAUGGUUAUGUUUCCUAAAAAUAGACAUGAGUUGUCAUUUGAUUAACGGGAUCACAUCAUUAGAGAAUGAUGUGAUUGAAUUGACCCAUUCCAUUAGCUUAGCAUUUGAUCGUUUAGUAUAUUGCUAUUGCUUUCUUCAUAACUUGUACAUGUUCCUAUGACUAUGAGAUUAUGCAACUCCCGGAUACCGGAGGAACACUUUUUGUGCUACCAAACGUCACAACGUAACUGGGUGAUUAUAAAGGUGCUCUACAGGUGUCUCCGAUGGUACUUGUUGAGUUGGCAUAGAUCAAGAUUAGGAUUUGUCACUCCGAUUGUCGAAGAGGUAUCUCUGGGCCCUCUCGGUAAUGCACAUCACUAUAAGCCAUGCAAGCAAUGUAACUAAUGAUUUAGUUGCGGGAUGAUGCAUUACGGAAUGAGUAAAGAGACUUGCCGGUAACGAGAUUGAACUAGGUAUUGAGAUACCGGCGAUCGAAUCUCGGGCAAGUAACAUACCGUUGACAAAGGGAACAACGUAUGUUGUUAUGCGGUUUGACCGAUAAAGAUCUUCGUAGAAUAUGUAGGAACCAAUAUGAGCAUCCAGGUUCCGCUAUUGGUUAUUGACCAGAGAUGAGUCUCGGUCAUGUCAUAGUUCUCGAACCCGUAGGGUCCGCACGCUUAAAAUUCGGUGACGAUCGGUAUUAUGAGUUUAUGUGUUUUUAUGUACCGAAGGUAGUUCAGAGUCCCGGAUAUGAUCACGGACAUGACGAGGAGUCUCGAAAUGGUCGAGACAUAAAGAUCGAUAUAUUGGACGACUAGAUUUGGACAUCGGAAUGGUUCCGGGUGAGACCGGGAAUAUACCGGAGUACCGGGAGGUUACCGGAACCCCCCGGGAGGUAUAUGGGCCUUAUUGGGCCAUAGAGGGAGAGAGGAGAAGGGUGCAAAGGAGGGGGCGCCCCCCCAAGCCCAAUCCGAAUUGGGAGGGGGGCCGGCCCACCUUUCCUGUUAGGGAACGUAGUAAUUUCAAAAAUUUCCUACGCACACGCAAGACCAUGGUGAUGUAUAGCAACGAGAGGGGAGAGUGUUGUCCACGUACCCUCGUAGACCGAAAGCGGAAGCGUUGACACAACGCGGUUGAUGUAGUCGUAUGUCUUCACGAUCCGACCGAUCGAGUACCGAACGCACGGCACCUCCAAGUUCAGCACACGUUCAGCUCGAUGACGUCCCUCGAACUCCGAUCCAGCCGAGUGUUGAGGGAGAGUUUCGUCAGCACGACGGCGUGGUGACGAUGAUUAUGUUCUACCGACGCAGGGCUUCGCCUAAGCACCGCUACGAUAUUAUCGAGGUGUAAUAUGGUGGAGGGGGCACCACACACGGCUAAGAGAUCAAUAGAUCAAUUGUUGUGUCUAUGGGGUGCCCCCUGCCCUCGUAUAUAAAGGAGCAAGGGGGGAGGCCGUCGGCCUAAGAGGAGGGCGCGCCAAGGGGGGAGUCCUACUCCCACCGGGAGUAGGACUCCUCCUUUCCUUGUUGGAGUAGGAGAAGGGAAGGGAGAAGGAGAAGGAAGGAAGGGGGCGCCCCCUCCCUAGUCCAAUUCGGACUAGUCCAUGGGGAGGGGUGCGGCCACCCUUUGGGGCCUUUCUCACCUUUCCCGUAUGGCCCAUUAAGGCCCAAUACGAAUUCCCGUAACUCUCCGGUACUACGAAAAAUACCCGAAUCACUCGGAACCUUUCCGAUGUCUGAAUAUAGUCGUCCAAUAUAUCGAUCUUUACGUCUCGACCAUUUCGAGACUCCUCGUCAUGUCCCCGAUCUCAUCCGGGACUCCGAACUCCUUCAGUACAUCAAAACUCAUAAACUCAUAAUAAAAUUGUCAUCGUAACGUUAAGCGUGCGGACCCUACGGGUUCGAGAACUAUGUAGACAUGACCGAGACACGUCUCCGGUCAAUAACCAAUAGCGGGACCUGGAUGCCCAUAGUGGCUCCCACAUAUUCUACAAAGAUCUUUAUCGGUCAAACCGCAUAACAACAUACGUUGUUCCCUUUGUCAUCGGUAUGUUACUUGCCCGAGAUUCGAUUGUCGGUAUCUUAAUACCUAGUUCAAUCUCGUUACCGGCAAGUCUCUUUACUCGUUCCGUAAUACAUCAUCUCUCAACAAACUCAUUAGUUGCAAUUCUUGCAAGGCUUAAGUGAUGUGCAUUACCGAGAGGGCCCAGAGAUACCUCUCCGACAAUCGGAGUGACAAAUCCUAAUCUCGAAAUACGCCAACCCAACAAGUACCUUCGGAGACACCUGUAGAACACCUUUAUAAUCACCCAGUUACGUUGUGACGUUUGGUAGCACACAAAGUGUUCCUCCGGUAAACGGGAGUUGCAUAAUCUCAUAGUCAUAGGAACAUGCAUAAGUCAUGAAGAAAGCAAUAGCAACAUACUAAACGAUCGAGUGCUAAGCUAACGGAAUGGGUCAAGUCAAUCACAUCAUUCUCCUAAUGAUGUGAUCCCGUUAAUCAAAUGACAACUCAUGUCUAUGGCUAGGAAACAUAACCAGCUUUGACCAACGAGCUAGUCAAGUAGAGGCAUACUAGUGACACUCUGUUUGUCUAUGUAUUCACACAUGUAUCAAGUUUCCGGUUAAUACAAUUCUAGCAUGAAUAAUAAACAUUUAUCAUGAUAUAAGGAAAUAAAUAAUAACUUUAUUAUUGCCUCUAGGGCAUAUUUCCUUCAGUCUCCCACAUGCACUAGAGUCAAUAAUCUAGUUCACAUCGCUAUGUGAUUUAACAUCAAUAGUUCACAUCACCAUGUGAUUAACACCCAUAGUUCACAUCGUCAUGUGACCAACACCCAAAGGGUUUACUAGUCAGUAAUCUAGUUCACAUCGCUGUGUGAUUAACACCCAAAGAGUACUAAGGUGUGAUCAUGUUUUGUUUGUGAGAUAAUUUUAGUCAAUGGGUCUGUCACAUUCAGAUCUGUAAGUAUUUUGCAAAUUUCUAUGUCUACAAUGCUCUGCACGGAGCUACUCUAGCUAAUUGCUCCCACUUUCAAUAUGUAUCUAGACCGAGACUUAGAGUCAUCUAGAUUAGUGUCAAAACUUGCAUCGACGUAAUCCUUUACGAUGAACCUUUUGUCACUUCCAUAAUCGAGAAACAUAUCCUUAUUCCACUAAGGAUAAUUUUGACCGCUGUCCAGUGAUCUACUCCUAGAUCAUUAUUGUACUCCCUUGCCAAAAUUAGUGUAGGGUAUACAAUAGAUCUGGUACACAGCAUGGCAUACUUUAUAGAACCUAUGGCCGAGGCAUAGGGAAUGACUUUCAUUCUUUUUCUAUCUUCUGCCGUGGUCGGGCUUUGAGUCUUACUCAAUUCCACACCUUGUAACACGGGCAAGAAACUCUUUCUUUGCUUGAUCCAUUUUGAACUUCUUCAAAACUUUGUCAAGUUAUGUGCUUUGUGAAAGUCCAAUUAAGCGUCUUGAUCUAUCUCUAUAGAUCUUGAUGCCCAAUAUAUACGCAGCUUCACCGAGGUCUUUCAUUGAAAAACUCUUAUUCAAGUAUCCCUUUAUGCUAUCCAGAAAUUCUAUAUCAUUUCCAAUCAGCAGUAUGUCAUCCACAUAUAAUAUCAGAAAUGCUACAGAGCUCCCACUCACUUUCUUGUAAAUACAGGCUUCUCCAAAAGUCUGUACAAAACCAAAUGCUUUGAUCACACUAUCAAAGCAUUUAUUCCAACUCCGAGAGGCUUGCACCAGUCCAUUAAUGGAUCGCUGGAGCUUGCACACUUUGUUAGCUCCCUUUGGAUCGACAAAACCUUCCGGUUGCAUCAUAUACAAUUCUUCUUCCAGAAAUCCAUUCAGGAAUGCAGUUUUGACAUCCAUUUGCCAAAUUUCAUAAUCAUAAAAUGCGGCAAUUGCUAACAUGAUUCGGACAGACUUAAGCAUCGCUACGGGUGAGAAGGUCUCAUCGUAGUCAAUCCCUUGAACUUGUCGAAAACCUUUCGCAACAAGUCGAGCUUUAUAGACAGUAACAUUACCGUCAGCGUCAGUCUUCUUCUUGAAGAUCCAUUUAUUUUCAAUGGCUUGCCGAUCAUCGGGCAAGUCAACCAAAGUCCAUACUUUGUUCUCAUACAUGGAUCCCAUCUCGGAUUUCAUGGCCUCAAGCCAUUUUGCGGAAUCUGGGCUCACCAUCGCUUCUUCAUAGUUUGUAGGUUCGUCAUGGUCUAGUAACAUAACCUCCAGAACAGGAUUACUGUACCACUCUGGUGCGGAUCUUACUCUGGUUGACCUACGAGGUUCAGUAAUAACUUGAUCUGAAGUUUCAUGAUCAUCAUCAUUAACUUCCUCACUAAUUGGUGUAGGCGUCGCAGAAACCGGUUCCUGUGAUGAACUACUUUCCAAUAAGGGAGCAGGUACAGUUACCUUAUCAAGUUCUACCUUCCUUCCACUCACUUCUUUCGAGAGAAACUCCUUCUCCAGAAAAAUUCCGAAUUUAGCAACAAAAGUUUUUCCUUCGGAUCUGUGAUAGAAGGUGUACCCAACAGUUUCCUUUGGGUAUCCUAUGAAGACAUAUUUCUCCGAUUUGGUUUCGAGCUUAUCAGGUUGAAGUUUUUUCACGUAAGCAUCGCAGCCCCAAACUUUAAGAAACAACAACUUUGGUUUCUUGCCAAACCACAGUUCAUAAGAUGUUUUCUCAACGGAUUUAGAUGGUACCCUAUUUAACGUGAAUGCAGCUGUCUCUAAUGCAUAACCCCAAAACGAUAUUGGUAAAUCGGUAAGAAACAUCAUAGAUUGCACUAUAUCCAAUAAAGUACGGUUAUGACGUUCAGACACACCAUUAUGCUGUGGUGUUCCAGGUGGCACGAAUUUGUGAAACUAUUCCACAUUGUUUUAAUUGAAGACCAAACUCGUAACUCAAAUAUUUGUCUCCGCGAUCAUAUCGUAGAAACCUUAUUUUCUUGUCACGAUGAUUUUCCACUUCACUCUGAAAUUCUUUGAACUUUUCAAAUGUUUCAGACUUAUGUUUCAUUAAGUAGAUAUACCCAUAUCUGCUCAAAUCAUCUGUGAAGGUGAGAAAAUAACGAUAUCCGCCACGAGCCUCAAUAUUCAUUGGACCACAUACAUCUGUAUGUAUGAUUUCCAACAAAUCUGUUGCUCUCUCCAUAGUUUCGGAGAACGGUGUUUUCGUCAUCUUGCCCAUGAGACACGGUUCGCAAGUACCAAGUGAUUCAUAAUCAAGUGGUUCCAAAAGCUCAUCAGCAUGGAGUUUCUUCAUGCGCUUUACACCAAUAUGACCUAAACGGCAGUGCCACAAAUAAGUUGCACUAUCAUUAUUAACUUUGCAUCUUUUGACUUCAAUAUUAUGAAUAUGUGUAUCACUACGAUCGAGAUCCAACGAACCAUUUUCAUUGGGUGUGUAACCAUAUAAGGUUUUAUUCAUGUAAACAGAACAACAAUUAUUCUCUAACUUAAAUGAAUAACCGUAUUGCAAUAAACAUGAUCAAAUCAUAUUCAUGCUCAACACAAACACCAAAUAACACUUAUUUAGGUUCAACACUAAUCCCGAAAGUAUAGGGAGUGUGCGAUGAUGAUCAUAUCAAUCUUGGAACUACUUCCAACACACAUCGUCACCUCGCCUUUUACUAGUCUCUGUUUAUUCUGCAACUCUCGUUUCGAGUUACUACUCUUAGCAACUGAACCAGUAUCAAAUGCCGAGGGGUUGCUAUAAACACUAGUAAAGUACACAUCAAUAACAUGUAUGUCCAAUAUACCUUUGUUCACUUUGCCAUCCUUCUUAUCCACCAAAUACUUGGGGUAGUUCCGCUUCCAGUGACCAGUCCCUUUGCAGUAGAAGCACUUAGUCUCAGGCUUAGGACUAGACUUAGGCUUCUUCACUUGAGCAGCAACUUGCUUGUCGUUCUUCUUGAAGUUCCCCUUCUAUCCCUUUGCCAUUUUCUUGAAACUAGUGGUCUUGUUAACAAUCAACACUUGAUGCUCUUUCUUGAUUUCUACCUUUGUCGAUUUCAGCAUCGCGAAGAGCUCGGGAAUUACUUUCGUCAUCCCUUGCAUACUAUAGUUCAUCACGAAGUUCUACUAACUUGGUGAUGGUGACUAGAGAAUUCUGUCAAUCACUAUCUUAUCUGGAAGAUUAACUCCCACUUGAUUCAAGCGAUUGUAGUACCCAGACAAUCUGAGCACAUGCUCACUACUUGAGCUAUUCUCCUCCAUCUUUUAGCUAUAGAACUUGUUGGAGACUUCAUAUCUCUCAACUCGGGUAUUUGCUUGAAAUAUUAACUUCAACUCCUGGAACAUCUCAUAUGGUCCAUGACGUUCAAAACGUCUUUGAAGUCCCGAUUCUAAGCCUUUAAGCAUGGUGCACUAAACUAUCAAGUAGUCAUCAUAUUGAGCUCGCCAAACGUUCAUAACGUCUGCAUUUGCUCCUGCAAUAGGUCUGUCACCUAGCGGUGCAUCAAGGACAUAAUUCUUCUGUGCAGCAAUGAGGAUAAUCCUCAGAUCACGGAUCCAAUCCGCAUCUUUGCUACUAACAUCUUUCAACAUAAUUUUUCUCUAGGAACAUAUCAAAAAUAAACACAGGGAAGCAACAACGCGAGCCAUUGAUCUACAAAAUAAUUUGCAAAAUACUAUCAGGACUAAGUUCAUGAUAAAUUUAAGUUCAAUUAAUCAUAUUACAUAAGAACUCCCACUUAGAUAGACAUCCCUCUAAUCCUCUAAGUGAUCACGUGAUCCAUAUCAACUAAACCAUGUCCGAUCAUCACGUGAGAUGGAGUAGUUUCAACGGUGAACAUCACUAUGUUGAUCAUAUCUACUAUAUGAUUCACGCUCGACCUUUCGGUCUCCAUGUUCCGAGGCCAUAUCUGUUAUAUGCUAGGCUCGUCAAGUUUAACUUGAGUAUUCCGCGUGUGCAACUAUUUUGCACCCGUUGUAUUUGAACGUAGAGCCUAUCACACCCGAUCAUCACAUGGUGUCUCAGCACGAAGAACUUUCGCAACGGUGCAUACUCAGGGAGAACACUUAUACUUUGAUAAUUUAGUGAGGGAUGAUCUUAUAAUGCUAUUGUCAAUCAAAGCAAGAUAAGAUGCAUAAAAGAUUAACAUCACAUGCAAUCAAUAUAAGUGAUAUGAUAUAGCCAUCAUCAUCUUGUGCUUGUGAUCUCCAUCUCCGAAGCACCGUCAUGAUCACCAUCGUCACCGGCGCGACACCUUGUUCUCCAUCGUAGCAUCAUUGUCGUCUCGCCAAUCUUAUGCUUCUACGACUAUCGCUACCGCUUAGUGAUAAAGUAAAGCAUUACAGGGCGAUUGCAUUGCAUACAAUAAAGCGACAACCAUAUGGCUCCUGCCAGUUGCCGAUAACUCGGUUACAAAACAUGAUCAUCUCAUACAAUAAAUUUAGCAUCAUGCUUUGACCAUAUCACAUCACAACAUGCCCUGCAAAAACAAGUUAGACGUCCUCUACUUUGUUGUUGCAAGUUUUACGUGGCUGCUACGGGCUUAGCAAGAACCGUUCUUACCUACGCAUCAAAACCACAACGAUAGUUUGUCAAGUUUGUGUUGUUUUAACCUUCGCAAGGACCGGGCGUAGCCACACUUGGUUCAACUAAAGUUGGAGAAACUGACACCCGUCAGCCACCUCUGUGCAAAGCACGUCGGAAGAACCAGUCUCGCGUAAGCGUACGCGUAAUGUCGGUCCGGGCCGCUUCAUCCAACAAUACCGACGAACCAAAGUAUGACAUGCUGGUAAGCAGUAUGACUUAUAUCGCCCACAACUCAGUUGUGUUCUACUCGUGCAUAUGACAUCUACGCAUAAAACCAGGCUCUGAUACCACUGUUAGGGAACGUAGUAAUUUCAAAAAUUUCCAACGCACACGCAAGAUCAUGGUGAUGCAUAGCAACGAGAGGGGAGAGUGUUGUCCACGUACCCUCGUAGACCGAAAGCGGAAGCGUUAACACAAUGCGAUUGAUGUAGUCGUACGUCUUCACGAUCCGACCGAUCAAGUACCGAACGCACGGCACCUCCGAGUUCAGCACAUGUUCAGCUCGAUGACGUCCCUCAAACUCCGAUCCAGCCGAGUGUUGAGGGAGAGUUUCGUCAGCAUGACGGCAUGGUGACGAUGAUGAUGUUCUACCGACGCAGGGCUUCGCCUAAGCACCGCUACGAUAUUAUCGAGGUGUAAUAUGGUGGAGGGGGGCACCGCACACGGCUAAGAGAUCAAUAGAUCAAUUGUUGUGUCUAUGGGGUGCCCCCUGCCCCCGUAUAUCAAGGAGCAAGGGGGGAGGCGGCCGGCCUAGGAGGAGGGCGCGCCAAGGGGGGAGUCCUACUCCCACCGGGAGUAGGACUCCUCCUUUCCUUGUUGGAGUAGGAGAAGGGAAGGGAGAAGGAGAAGGAAGGAAGGGGGCACCCCCCUCCCUAGUCCAAUUCGGACUAGUCCAUGGGGAGGGGUGCGGCCACCCUUUGGGGCCUUUCUCUCCUUUCCCGUAUGGCCCAUUAAGGCCCAAUACGAAUUCCCGUAACUCUCCAGUACUCCGAAAAAUACCCGAAUCACUCGGAAACUUUCCGAUGACUGAAUAUAGUCGUCCAAUAUAUCGAUCUUUACGUCUCGACCAUUUCGAGACUCCUCGUCAUGUCCCCGAUCUCAUCCGAGACUCCGAACUCCUUCGGUACAUCAAAACUCAUAAACUCAUAAUAAAAUUGUCAUCGUAACGUUAAGCGUGCGGACCCUACGGGUUCGAGAACUAUGUAGACAUGACCGAGACACGUCUCCGGUGAAUAACCAAUAGCGGGACCUGGAUGCCCAUAUUGGCUCCCACAUAUUCUACGAAGAUCUUUAUCGGUCAAACCGCAUAACAACAUACGUUGUUCCCUUUGUCAUCGGUAUGUUACUUGCCCGAGAUUCGAUCGUCGGUAUCUUAAUACCUAGUUCAAUCUCGUUACCGGCAAGUCUCUUUACACGUUCCGUAAUACAUCAUCUCGCAACAAACUCAUUAGUUGCAAUUCUUGCAAGGCUUAAGUGAUGUGCAUUACCGAGAGGGCCCAGAGAUACCUCUCCGACAAUCGGAGUGACAAAUCCUAAUCUCGAAAUACGCCAACCCAACAAGUACCUUCGGAGACACCUGUAGAGCACCUUUAUAAUCACCCAGUUACGUUGUGACGUUUGGUAGCACACAAAGUGUUCCUUCGGUAAACGGGAGUUGCAUAAUCUCAUAGUCACAGGAACAUGUAAAGUCAUGAAGAAAGCAAUAGCAACAUACUAAACGAUCGAGUGCUAAGCUAACGGAAUGGGUCAAGUCAAUCACAUCAUUCUCCUAAUGAUGUGAUCCCGUUAAUCAAAUGACAACUCAUGUCUAUGGCUAGGAAACAUAACCAUCUUUGAUCAACGAGCUAGUCAAGUAGAGGCAUACUAGUGACACUCUGUUUGUCUAUGUAUUCACACAUGUAUCAAGUUUCCGGUUAAUACAAUUCUAGCAUGAAUAAUAAACAUUUAUCAUGAUAUAAGGAAAUAAAUAAUAACUUUAUUAUUGCCUCCAGGGCAUAUUUCCUUCAUUUCCUUCCUCCUUCCUCCCCCUUCCUUCUCUCCUAAUCCAACUAGGGACGGGGGGGGGAUCCUACUCCCGGUGGGAGUAGGACUCCCCUUGGGGCGCGCCUAGGAGGCCGGCCUCCUCCCCCUCCUCCACUCCUUUAUAUACGGGGGAGGGGGCACCCCAUAGACACACAAGUUGAUCAUUGAUCUCUUAGCCGUGUGCGGUGCCCCCUUCCACCAUAAUCCACCUCGGUCAUAUCAUCGUAGUGCUUAGGCGAAGCCCUGCGCCGGUAACUUCAUCAUCACCUUCAUCACGCCGUCGUGCUGACGAAGCUCUUCCCCGAAGCUCUACUGGAUCAUGAGUUCGUGGGACGUCACCGAGCUGAACGUGUGCAGAUCGCGGAGGUGUCGUGCGUUCGGUACUAGGAUCGGUCGAUCAUGAAGACAUACGACUACAUUAACCGCGUUGUCAUAACGCUUCCGCUUUCGGUCUACGAGGGUAAGUGGACAACACUCUCCCCUCUUGUUGCUAUACAUCACCAUGAUCUUGCGUGUGCAUAGGAAUUUUUUUGAAAUUACUACGUUCCACAACAGUGGCAUCCGAGCCAGGUUUAUGCAUAGAUGUUAUAUGCACGAGUAGAACACAAGUGAGUUGUGGGCGAUACUAGUCAUACUGCUUACCAGCAUGUCAUACUUUGAUUCGGCGGUAUUGUUGGAUGAAGCGGCCCGGACCGACAUUACGCGUACGCUUACGCGAGACUGGUUCUACCGACGUGCUUCACACACAGGUGGCUGGCGGGUGUCAGUUUCUCCAACUUUAGUUUAAUCGAGUGUGGCUACGCCCGGUCCUUGUUGAAGGUUAAAACAGCACAUACUUGAUGAAAUAUCAUUGUGGUUUUGAUGCGUAGGUAAGAACGGUUCUUACUCGGCCCGUAGCAGCCACGUAAAACUUGCAACAACAAAGUAGAGGACGUCUAACUUGUUUUUGCAUGGCAUGUUGUGAUGUGAUAUGGUCAAGACAUGAUGCUAAAUUUUAUUGUAUGAGAUGAUCAUGUUUUGUAACAAAGUUAUCGGCAACUGGCAGGAGCCAUAUGGUUGUCGCUUUAUUGUAUGAAAUGCAAUCGCCAUGUAAUUGCUUUACUUUAUCACUAAGCGGUAGCGAUAGUCGUAGAAGCAAUAGUUGGCGAGACGGCAACGAUGCUACGAUGGAGAUCAAGGUGUCGCGCCGGUGACGAUGGUGAUCAUAACGGUGCUUUGGAGAUGGAGAUGAAAGGCACAAAAUGAUGAUGGCCAUAUCAUAUCACUUAUAUUGAUUGCAUGUGAUGUUUAUCCUUUAUGCAUCUUAUUUUGCUUAGAUCGGCGGUAGCAUUAUAAGAUGAUCUCUCACUAAAUUUCAAGGUAUAAGUGUUCUCCCUAAGUAUGCACCGUUGCGAAAGUUCGUCGUGCCGAGACACCACGUGAUGAUUGGGUGUGAUAAGCUCUACGUUCACAUACAACGGGUGCAAGCCGGUUUUGCACACACAGAAUACUCGGGUUAAACUUGACAAGCCUAGCAUAUGCAGAUAUGGCCUCGGAACACUGAGACCGAAAGGUCGAGCGUGAAUCAUAUAGUAGAUAUGAUCAACAUAGUGAUGUUCACCAUUGAAAACUACCCCAUCUCACAUGAUGAUCGGACAUGGUUUAGUUGAUAUGGAUCACGUGAUCACUUAGAUGAUUAGAGGGAUGUCUAUCUAAGUGGGAGUUCUUAAGUAAUUUGAUUAAUUGAACUUUAAUUUAUCAUGAACUUAGUACCUGAUAGUAUUUUGCAUGUCUAUGUUGUUGUAGAUAGAUGGCCCGUGCUGUUGUUCCGUUGAAUUUUAAUGCGUUCCUAGAGAAAGCUAAGUUGAAAGAUGAUGGUAGAAACUACACGGACUGGGUCCAUAACUUGAGGAUUAUCCUCAUUACUGCACAGAAGAAUUACGUCCUGGAAGCACCGCUAGGUGCCAAACCCGCUGCAGGAGCAACGCCAGAUGUUAUGAACGUCUCACGGAGCAAAGCUGAUGACUACUCGAUAGUUCAGUGUGCCAUGCUUUACGGCUUAGAACCGGGACUUCAACAAUGUUUUGAACGUCAUGGAGCAUAUGAGAUGUUCCAGGAGUUGAAGUUAAUGUUUCAAGCAAAUGCCCGGAUUGAGAGAUAUGAAGUCUCCAAUAAGUUCUACAACUGCAAGAUGGAGGAGAAUACUUCUGUCAGUGAGCAUAUACUCAAAAUGUCUGGGUAUAACAAUCACUUGAUUCAAUUGGGAGUUAAUCUUCCGGAUGAUAGUGUCAUUGACAUAAUUCUUCAAUCACUGCCACCAAGCUACAAGAGCUUCGUGAUGAACUAUAACAAGCAAGGGAUGGACAAGACAAUUCCUGAGCUCUUCGGGAUGCUAAAGGAUGUGGAGGUAGAAAUCAAGAAGGAGCAUCAAGUGUUGAUGGUCAACAAGACCACCAGUUUCAGGAAAAAGGGUAAAGGGAAGAAGGGGAACUUCAAGAAGAACGACAAGCAAGUUGCUGCUCAAGUGAAGAAACCCAAGUCUGGACCUAAGCCUGAGACUGAGUGCUUCUACUGCAAAGGGACUGGUCACUGGAAGCAGAACUGCCCCAAGCAUUUUGCGGAUAAGAAGGAUGGCAAGGUGAACAAAGGUUUAUGUGAUAUACAUGUUAUUUAUGUGUACCUUACUAAUGCUCGUAGUACCACCUGGGUAUUUGAUACUGGUUCUGUUGCUAAUAUUUGCAACUCGAAACAGGGACUACGGAUUAAGCGAAGAUUGGCUAAGGACGAGGUGACGAUGCGUGUGGGAAAUGGUUCCAAAUUCGAUGUGAUCGCGGUCGGCACGCUACCUCUACAUCGACCUUCGGGAUUAGUUUUAGACCUGAAUAAUUGUUAUUUGGUGCCAGCGUUGAGCAUUAACAUUAUAUCUUGAUCUUGUUUGAUGCGAGACGGUUAUUCAUUUAAAUCAGAGAAUAAUGGUUGUUCUAUUUAUAUGAGUACUAUCUUUUAUGGUCAUGCACCCUUGAAGAGUGGUCUAUUUUUAUUGAAUCUCGAUAGUAGUGAUACACAUAUUCAUAAUAUUGAAGCCAAAAGAUGCAGAGUUGAUAAUGAUAGUGAAACUUUUUGUGGCACUGCCGUUUAGGUCAUAUUGGUGUAAAGCGCAUGAAGAAACUCCAUUCUGAUGGACUUUUGGAAUCACUUGAUUAUGAAUCACUUGGUACUUGCGAACCAUGCCUCGUGGGCAAGAUGACUAAAACUCCGUUCUCUGGAACAAUGGAGCGAUCAACAGAUUUAUUGGAAAUCAUAAAUACUGAUGUAUGUGGUCCGAUGAAUGUUGAGGCUCGCGGCGGGUAUCGUUAUUUUCUCACCUUCACAGAUGAUUUGAGCAGAUAUGGGUAUAUCUACUUAAUGAAACAUAAGUCUGAAACGUUUGAAAAGUUCAAAGAAUUUCAGAGUGAAGUGGAAAAUCAUCGUAACAAGAAAAUAAAGUUUCUACGAUCUGAUCAUGGAGGAGAAUAUUUGUGUUACGAGUUUGGUCUUCAUUUGAAACAAUGCGCAAUAGUUUCACAACUCACGCCACCCGGAACACCACAGCGUAAUGGUGUGUCCGAACGUCGUAAUCGUACUUUACUAGAUAUGGUGCGAUCGAUGAUGUCGCUUACUGAUUUACCGCUAUCAUUUUGGGGUUAUGCUUUAGAGACGGCUGCAUUCACAUUAAAUAGGGCACCAUCUAAAUCCGUUGAGACGACACCUUAUGAACUAUGGUUUGGCAAGAAACCAAAGUUGUCGUUUCUUAAAGUUUGGGGAUGCGAUGCUUAUGUGAAAAAACUUCAACCUGAUAAGCUCGAACCCAAAUCGGAGAAAUGUGUCUUCAUAGGAUACCCAAAGGAGACAGUUGGGUACACCUUCUAUCACAGAUCCGAAGGCAAGACAUUCGUUGCUAAGAAUGGAUCCUUUCUAGAGAAGGAGUUUCUCUCGAAAGAAGUGAGUGGGAGGAAAGUAGAACUUGAUGAGGUAACUGUACCUGCUCCCUUAUUGGAAAGUAGUUCAUCACAGAAAUCUGUUCCUGUGACUCCUACACCAAUUAGUGAGGAAGCUAAUGAUGAUGAUCAUGUAACUUCAGAUCAAGUUACUACUGAACCUCGUAGGUCAACCAGAGUAAGAUCCGCACCAGAGUUGUACGGUAAUCCUGUUCUGGAGGUCAUGUUACUUGACCAUGAUGAGCCUACGAACUAUGAGGAAGCGAUGAUGAGCCCAGAUUCGGCAAAAUGGCUUGAGGUCAUGAAAUCUGAGAUGGGAUCCAUGUAUGAGAACAAAGUGUGGACUUUGGUUGACUUGCCCGAUGAUCGGCAAGCCAUCGAGAAUAAAUGGAUCUUCAAGAAGAAGACUCACGCUGACGGUAAUGUUACUGUCUACAAAGCUCGACUUGCUGCGAAAGGUUUUCGACAAGUUCAAGUAGUUGACUAUGAUGAGACCUUCUCACCCGUAGCGAUGCUUAAGUCCAUCCGAAUCAUGUUAGCAAUUGCCGCAUUUUAUGAUUAUGAAAUUUGGCAAAUGGAUGUAAAGACUGCAUUCCUAAAUGGAUUUCUGGAAGAAGAGUUGUAUAUGAUGCAACCUGAAGGUUUUAUCGAUCCAAAGGAUGCUAACAAAGUGUGCAAGCUCCAGCGAUCCAUUUGUGGACUGGUGCAGGCAUCUCGGAGUUGAAAUAAACGUUUUGAUAGUGUGACCAAAGCAUAUGGUUUUAUACAGACUUUUGGAGAAGCCUGUAUUUACAAGAAAGUGAGUGGGAGCUCUGUAGCAUUUCUAAUAUUAUAUGUGGAUGACAUAUUGUUGAUUGGAAAUGAUAUAGAAUUUCUGGAUAGCAUAAAAGGAUACUGGAAUAAGAGAUUUUCAAUGAAAGACCUCGGUGAAGCUGCUUAUAUAUUGGGCAUCAAGAUCUAUAGAGAUAGGUCGAGACGCUUAAUUGGACUUUCACAAAGCACAUACCUUGAUAAAGUUUUGAGGAAGUUCAAAAUGGAUCAAGCAAAGAAAGGGUUCUUGCCUGUGUUACAAGGUGUGAAAUUGAGUCAGACUCAAUGCCCGACCACUGCAGAAGAUAGAGAGAAAAUGAAAGGUGUUCCCUAUGCUUCAGCCAUAGGCUCUAUCAUGUAUGCAAUGCUGUGUACCAGACCUGAUGUGUGCCUUGCUAUUAGUUUAGCAGGGAGGUACCAAAGUAAUCCAGGAGUGGAUCACUAGACAUCGGUCAAGAACAUCCUGAAAUACCUGAAAAGGACUAAGGAUAUGUUUCUCGUUCAUGGAGGUGACAAAGAGCUCACCGUAAAUGGUUACGUUGAUGCAAGCUUUGUCACUGAUCCGGAUGACUCUAAGUCACAAAUCGGAUACCGAUUUAUAUUGAACGGUAGAGCUGUCAGUUGGUGCAGUUCGAAGCAAAGCGUCGUGGCGGGAUCUACAUGUGAAGCAGAGUACAUAGCUGCUUCGGAAGCAGCAAAUGAAGGAGUCUAGAUGAAGGAGUUCAUAUCCGAUCUAGGUGUCAUACCUAUUGCAUCGGGUCCAAUGAAAAUCUUUUGUGACAAUACUGGUGCAAUUGCCUUGGCAAAGGAAUUCAGAUUUCACAAGAGAACCAAGCACAUCAAGAGACGCUUCAAUUCCAUCCGCGAUCAAGUCAAGGAGGGAGACAUAGAGAUUUGCAAGAUACAUGCGGAUCUGAAUGUUGCAGACCGUUGACUAAGCCUCUCUCACGAGCAAAACAUGAUCGGCGCCAAUACUCCAUGGGUGUUAGAAUCAUUACUGUGUAAUCUAGAUUAUUAACUCUAGUGCAAGUGGGAGACUGAAGGAAAUAUGCCCUAGAGGCAAUAAUAAAGUUGUUAUUUAUAUUUCCUUAUAUCAUGAUAAAUGUUCAUUAUUCAUGCUAGAAUUGUAUUAACCGGAAACUUAGUACAUGUGUGAAUACAUAGACAAAUAGAGUGUCACUAGUAUGCCUCUACUUGACUAGCUCGUUGAAUCAAAGAUGGUUAUGUUUCCUAACCAUAGACAUGAGUUGUCAUUUGAUUAACGGGAUCACAUCAUUAGAGAAUGAUGUGAUUGACUUGACCCAUUCCGUUAGCUUAGCAUUUGAUCGUUUAGUAUAUUGCUAUUGCUUUCUUCAUGACUUAUACAUGUUCCUAUGACUAUGAGAUUAUGCAACUCCCGAAUACCGGAGGAACACUUUCUGUGCUACCAAACGUCACAACGUAACUGGGUGAUUAUAAAGGUGCUCUACAGGUGUCUCUGAAGGUACUUUUUGAGUUGGCAUAGAUCGAGAUUAGGAUUUGUCACUCUGAUUGUCGAAGAGGUAUCUCUGGGCCCUCUCGGUAAUGCACAUCACUAUAAGCCUUGCAAGCAAUGUAAUUAAUGAGUUAGUUGCGGGAUGACGCAUUACGGGACGAGUAAAGAGACUUGCCGGUAACGAGAUUGAACUAGGUAUUGAGAUACCGACGAUCGGAUCUCGGGCAAGUAACAUACCGUUGACAAAGGGAACAACGUAUGUUGUUAUGCGGUUUGACCGAUAAAGAUCUUCAUAGAAUAUGUAGGAACCAAUAUGAGCAUCCAGGUUCCGCUAUUGGUUAUUGACUGGAGAUGAGUCUCGGUCAUGUCUACAUAGUUCUCGAACCCAUAGGGUCCGCACGCUUAAAGUUCGGUGACGAUCAGUAUUAUGAGUUUAUGUGUUUUGAUGUACCGAAGGUAGUUUGGAGUCCCGGAUAAGAUCACGGACAUGACGAGGAGUCUUGAUAUGGUCGAGACAUAAAUAUCGAUAUAUUGGACGACUAUAUUUGUGUUGGGGAACGUAGUAAUUUCAAAAAAUUUCCUACGCAUACGCAAGAUCAUGGUGAUGCAUAGCAACGAGAGGGGAGAGUGUUGUCCACGUACCCUCGUAGACCGACAGCGGAAGCGUUAUUACAACGCGGUUGAUGUAGUCGAACGUCUUCUCGAUCCGAUCGAUCAAGUACCGAACGUACGGCACCUCCGAAGUUCUACACACGUUCAGCUCGAUGACGUCCCUCGAACUCCGAUCCAGCCGAGUGUUGAGGGAGAGUUUCGUCAGCACGACGGCGUGGUGACGAUGAUGAUGUUCCACCGACGCAGGGCUUCGCCUAAGCUUCGCGACGGUAUUAUCGAGGUGUAAUCUGGUGGAGGGGGGCACCGCACACGGCUAAAAUAUCGUAUAUCAAGUGUGUUCUUAGGUGCCCCCCUGCCCCCGUAUAUAAAGGAGCAAGGGGGAGGCCGGCUGCCUAUGGGGCGCGCCAAGGAGAGGGGGGGAGUCCUCCUCCUAGUAGGAGUAGGACUCCCCUUUCCUAGUCCUACUAGGAAAAGAAGGGGGGAAGGAAAGAGAGGGAGAGGGAGAGGGAAAGGGGGCUGCGCCCCCCUCUCCUAGUCCAACUAGGACUCCUCUGGGAGGGGGCGCACCACCUCCUGGCUGCUGCCCUCUCUCUCCCCUCAAGGCCCACUAAGGCCCAAUACUUCCCCGGGGGGUUCCGGUAACCCUCCGGCACUCUGGUUUAAUCCGAAACUUCUCCGGAACACUUCCGGUGUCCGAAUAUAGUCGUCCAAUAUAUCAAUCUUUACGUCUCGACCAUUUCGAGACUCCUCGUCAUGUCCGUGAUCACAUCCGGGACUCCGAACAACCUUCGGUACAUCAAAUCACAUAAACUCAUAAUAUAACUGUCAUCGUAACUUUAAGCGUGCGGACCCUUUGGGUUCGAGAACUAUGUAGACAUGACCGAGACACCUCUCCGGUCAAUAACCAGUAGCGGGACCUGGAUGCCCAUAUUGGCUCCCACAUAUUCUACGAAGAUCUUUAUCGGUCAGACCGCAUAACAACAUACGUUGUUCCCUUUGUCAUCGGCAUGUUACUUGCCCGAGAUUCGAUCGUCGGUAUCUCGAUACCUAGUUCAAUCUCGUUACCGGCAAGUCUCUUUACUCGUUCCGUAAUACAUCAUCCCGCAACUAACUCAUUAGUCACAAUGCUUGCAAGGCUUAUAGUGAUGUGCAUUACCGAGUGGGCCCUGAGAUACCUCUCCGACAAUCGGAGUGACAAAUCAUAUUCUCGAAAUACGCCAACCCAACAAGUACCUUUGGAGACACCUGUAGAGCACCUUUAUAAUCACCCAGUUACGUUGUGACGUUUGGUAGCACAGAAAGUGUUCCUCCGGUAUUCGGGAGUUGCAUAAUCUCAUAGUCAUAGGAACAUGUAUAAGUCAUGAAGAAAGCAAUAGCAACAUACUAAACGAUCAAAUGCUAAGCUAACGUAAUGGGUCAAGUCAAUCACAUCAUUCUCUAAUGAUGUGAUCCCGUUAAUCAAAUGACAACUCAUGUCUAUGGUUAGGAAACAUAACCAUCUUUGAUUCAACGAGCUAGUCAAGUAGAGGCAUACUAGUGACACUCUAUUUGUCUAUGUAUUCACACAUGUACUAAGUUUCCGGUUAAUACAAUUCUAGCAUGAAUAAUAAACAUUUAUCAUGAUACAAGGAAAUAUAUAAUACUUUAUUAUUGCCUCUAGGGCAUAUUUCCUUUAGUCUCCCACUUGCACUAGAGUCAAUAAUCUAGAUUACAUAGUAAUGAUUCUUACACCCAUGGAGUCUUGGUGCUGAUCAUGUUUUGCUCGUGGAAGAGGCUUAGUCAACGGAUCUGCUACAUUCAGAUCCGUAUGUAUCUUGCAAAUUUCUAUGUCUCCCACCUGGACUAAAUCCCGGAUGGAAUUGAAGCGUCUUCUGAUGUGCUUGGUUCUCUUGUGAAAUCUGGAUUCCUUUGCUAAGGCAAUUGCACCAGUAUUAUCACAAAAGAUCUUCAUUGGUCCCGAUGUACUAGGUAUGACACCUAGAUCGGUUAUGAACUCCUUCAUCCAGACUCCUUCAUUCGCUGCUUCCGAAGCAGCUAUGUAUUCCGCUUCACACGUAGAUCCCGCCAUGACACUUUGCUUGGAACUGCACCAACUGACAGCUCCACCGUUCAAUGUAAAUACAUAUCCGGUUUGCGAUUUCGAAUCGUCCGGAUCAGUGUCAAAGCUUGCAUCAACGUAACCAUUUACGAUGAGCUCUUUGUCACCUCCAUAUACGAGAAACAUAUCCUUAGUCCUUUUCAGGUAUUUCAGGAUGUUCUUGACCGCUGUCCAGUGAUCCACUCCUGGAUUACUUUGGUACCUCCCUGCUAAACUUAUAGCCAGGGACACAUCAGGUCUGGUACACAGCAUUGCAUACAUGAUAGAGCCUAUGGCUGAAGCAUAGGGAACAUCUUUCAUCUUCUCUCUAUCUUCUGCAGUGGUCGGGCAUUGAGUCUUACUCAAUCUCACACCUUGUAGUACAGGCAAGAACCCUUUCUUUGCUUGAUCCAUUUUGAACUUCUUCAAAACUUUGUCAAGGUAUGUGCUUUGUGAAAGUCCAAUUAAGCGCCUUGAUCUAUCUCUAUAGAUCUUAAUGCCUAAUAUAUAUGCAGCUUUACCGAGGUCUUUCAUUGAAAAACUCUUAUUCAAGUAUCCCUUUAUGCUAUCCAGAAAUUCAAUAUCAUUUCCAAUCAGUAAUAUGUCAUCCAUAUAAUAUCAGAAAUGCUAUCGAGCUCCCACUCACUUUCUUGUAAAUACAGGCUUCCCCAAAAGUCUGUAUAAAACCAAAUGCUUUGAUCACACUAUCAAAGCGUUUAUUCCAACUCCGAGAGGCUUGCACCAGUCCAUAAAUGGAUCGCUGGAGCUUGCACACUUUGUUAGCUCCCUUUGGAUCGACAAAACCUUCCGGUUGUAUCAUAUACAACUCUUCUUCCAGAAAUCCAUUCAGGAACGCAGUUUUGACAUCCAUUUGCCAAAUUUCAUAAUCAUAAAAUGCGGCAAUUGCUAACAUGAUUCGGACAGACUUAAGCAUCGCUACGGGUGAGAAGGUCUCAUCGUAGUCAAUUCCUUGAACUUGUCGAAAACCUUUCGCAACAAGUCGAGCUUUAUAGAUAGUAACAUUACCAUCAGCGUCAGUCUUCUUUUUGAAGAUCCAUUUAUUUUCAAUGGCUUGCCGACCAUCGGGCAAGUCAACCAAAGUCCAUACUUUGUUCUCAUAUGGAUCCUAUCUCGGAUUUCAUGGCUUCAAGCCAUUUUGCGGAAUCUGGGCUCACCAUCGCUUCUUCAUAGUUCGUAGGUUCGCCAUGGUCUAAUAACAUGACCUCCAGAACAGGAUUACCGUACCAAUCUGGUGCGGAUCUUGAUCUAGUUGACUUACGAAGUUCAGUAAUAACUUGAUCUGAAGUUUCAUGAUCAUUAUCAUUAACUUCCUCACUAUUAGGUGUAGGUGUCGCAGAAACUGAUCUCUGCGAUGAUCUACUUUCCAAUAAGGGAGCAGGUACGGUUACCUCAUCAAGUUCUACUUUCCUCCCACUCACAUCUUUCGAGAGAAACUCCUUCUCUAGAAAGGAUCCAUUUCUAGCAACAAAUAUCUUGCCUUCGGAUCUGUGAUAGAAGGUGUACCCAACGGUCUCCUUUGGGUAUCCUAUGAAGACACAUUUCUCCGAUUUAGGUUCGAGCUUAUCAGGUUGAAGUUUCUUCACAUAAGCAUCGCAACCCCAAACUUUAAGAUACGACAACUUUGGUUUCUUGCCAAACCAUAGUUCAAAAGGCGUCGUCUCAACGGAUUUCGAUGGUGUCCUAUUUAGAGUGAAUGCAGCCGUCUCUAAAGCAUAACCCCAAAACGAUAGCGGUAAAUCAGUAAGAGACAUCAUAGAUCGCACCAUAUCUAGUAAAGUGCGAUUACGACGUUCAGACACACCAUUACGCUGUGGUGUUCCGGGUGGCGUGAGUUGCGAAACUAUUCCGCAUUGUUUCAAAUGUAGACCAAACUCGUAACUCAAAUAUUCUCCUCCACGAUCAGAUCGUAGGAAUUUUAUUUUCUUGUUACGAUGAUUUUCAACUUCACUCUGAAAUUCUUUGAACUUUUCAAAUGUUUCAGACUUAUGUUUCAUUAAGUAGAUAUACCCAUAUCUGCUCAAAUCAUCUGUGAAGGUGAGAAAAUAACGAUAUCCGCCACGAGCUUCAAUAUUCAUCGGACCACAUACAUCUGUAUGUAUGAUUUCCAACAAAUCUUUUGCUCUCUCCAUAGUUCCGGAGAACGGUGUUUUUGUCAUAUUGCCCAUAAGGCACGGUUCGCAAGUACCAAGUGAUUCAAAAUCAAGUGUUUCAAAAAUUCCAUCAGUAUGGAGUUUCUUCAUGCGCUUUACACCGAUAUGACCCAAACGGCAGUGCCACAUAUAAGUUGCACUGUCAUUAUUAACUCUGCAUCUUUUGGUUUCAACAUUAUGAAUAUGUGUAUCACUACUAUCGAGAUUCAUUAAAAAUAGACCACUCUUCAAGGGUGGAUGACCAUAAAAGAUAUUAUUCAUAUAAAUAGAACAACCAUUAUUCUCUGAUUUAAAUGAAUAACCGUCUCGCAUUAAACAAGAUCCAGAUAUAAUGUUCAUGCUCAACGCUGGCACCAAAUAACAAUUAUUUAGGUCUAAAACUAAUCCCGAAGGUAGAUGUAGAGGUAGCGUGCCGACGGCGAUCACAUCGACUUUGGAACCAUUUCCCACGCGCAUCGUCACCUCGUCCUUAGCUAAACUUCGCUUAAUCCGUAGCCCCUGUUUUGAGUUGCAAAUAUUAGCAACAGAACCAGUAUCAAAUACCCAAGUGCUACUGCGAGUAUUAGUAAGGUACACAUCAAUAACAUGUAUAUCACAUAUACCUUUGUUAACCUUGCCAUCCUUCUUAUCCGCCAAAUACUUGGGGCAGUUCCGCUUCCAGUGGCCAGUCUGCUUACAGUAGAAGCACUCAGUUUCAGGCUUAGGUCCAGACUUGGAUUUCUUCUCCUGAACAGCAACUUGCUUGCUAUUCUUCUUGAAGUUCCCUUUCUUCUUCCCUUUGCCCUUUUUCUUGAAACUAGUGGUUUUACUGACCAUCAACACUUGAUGCUCCUUUUUGAUUUCUACCUCCGCUGCCUUUAGCAUUGCGAAGAGCUCGGGAAUCGUCUUAUCCAUCCCUUGCAUGUUAUAGUUCAUCACGAAGCUCUUGUAGCUUGGUGGCAGUGAUUGAAGAAUUCUGUCAAUGACGCAAUCAUCCGGAAGUUGAACUCCCAGUUGAAUCAAGUGAUUAUUAUACCCAGACAUUCUGAGUAUAUGCUCACUGACAGAACUAUUCUCUUCCAUCUUGCAGCUAUAGAACUUAUUGGAGACUUCAUAUCUCUCAAUCCGGGCAUUUGCUUGAAAUAUUAACUUCAACUCCUGGAACAUCUCAUAUGCUCCAUGACGUUCAAAACGUCGUUGAAGUCCCGGUUCUAAGCCGUAAAGCAUGGCACACUGAACUAUUGAGUAGUCAUCAGCUUUGCUUUGCCAGACGUCCGUAACUUCUGGUGUAGCUCUUGCAGGAGGCCUGGCACCUAGCGGUGCUUCCAGGACGUAAUUCUUCUGUGCAGCAAUGAGGAUAAUCCUCAAGUUACGGACCCAGUCCGUGUAAUUGCUACCAUCAUCUUUCAACUUAGCUUUCUCAAGGAACGCAUUAAAAUUCAACGAAACAACAGCACGGGCCAUAUAUCUACAAUUAACAUAGACAAGCAAGAUACUAUCAGGUACUAAGUUCAUGAUAAAUUUAAGUUCAAUUAAUCAUAUUACUUAAGAACUCCCACUUAGAUAGACAUCUCUCUAAUCAUCUAAGUGAUUACGUGAUCCAAAGCAACUAAACCAUGACCGAUUAACAUGUGAGAUGGAGUAGUUUCAAUGGUGAACAUCACUAUGUUGAUCAUAUCUACUAUAUGAUUCACGCUCGACCUUUCGGUCUCUGUGUUCCGAGGCCAUAUCUGUAUAUGCUAGGCUCGUCAAGUUUAACCCGAGUAUUCCGCGUGUGCAACUGUUUUGCACCUGUUGUAUUUGAACGUAGAGCCUAUCACACCCGAUUAACACGUGGUGUCUCAGCACGAAGAACUUUUGCAACGGUGCAUACUCAGGGAGAACACUUUUAUCUUGAAAUUUUAGUGAGAGAUCAUCUUAUAAUGCUACCGUCAAUCAAAGCAAGAUAAGAUGCAUAAAGGAUUAACAUCACAUGCAAUCAAUAUAAGUGAUAUGAUAUGGCCAUCAUCAUCUUGUGCUUGUGAUCUCCAUCUCUGAAGCACCGUGCUUGUGAUCACCAUCUCCGAAGCACCAUCAUGAUCACCAUCGUCACCGGCUCGACACCUUGAUCUCCAUCGUAGUAUCGUUGUCGUCUCGCCAACUUAUUACUUUUACGACUAUCGCUACCGCUUAGUGAUAAAGUAAAACUAUUACAUGGCGAUUGCAUCUCAUACAAUAAAGCGACAACCAUAUGGCUCCUGCCAGUUGCCGAUAACUCGGUUACAAAACAUGAUCAUCUCAUACAACACAUUAUAUCACAUCAUGUCUUGACCAUAUCACAUCACAACAUGCCCUGCAAAAACAAGUUAGACGUCCUCUACUUUGUUGUUGCAAGUUUUACGUGGCUGCUACGGGCUUAGCAAGAACUGUUCUUACCUACGCAUCAAAACCACAACGAUAGUUUGUCAAGUUGGUGCUGUUUUAACCUUCGCAAGGACAGGGCGUAGCCACACUCGGUUCAACUAAAGUGAGAGAGACAGACACCCGCCAGUCACCUUUAAGCAACGAGUGCUCCGAACGGUGAAACCAGUCUCGCGUAAGCGUACGCGUAAUGUCGGUCCGGGCCGCUUCAUCUCACAAUACCGCUGAACCAAAGCAUGACAUGCUAGUAAGCAGUAUGACUUAUAUCGCCCACAACUCACUUGUGUUCUACUCGUGCAAAGCAUCAACGCAUAAAACCUGGCUCGGAUGCCACUGUUGGGGAACGUAGUAAUUUCAAAAAAUUUCCUACGCAUACGCAAGAUCAUGGUGAUGCAUAGCAACGAGAGGGGAGAGUGUUGUCCACGUACCCUCGUAGACCGACAGCGGAAGCGUUAUUACAACGCGGUUGAUGUAGUCGAACGUCUUCUCGAUCCGACCGAUCAAGUACCGAACGUACGGCACCUCCGAAGUUCUACACACGUUCAGCUCAAUGAUGUCCCUCGAACUCCGAUCCAGCCGAGUGUUGAGGGAGAGUUUCGUCAGCACGACGGCGUGGUGACGAUGAUGAUGUUCCACCGACGCAGGGCUUCGCCUAAGCUUCGCGACGGUAUUAUCGAGGUGUAAUCUGGUGGAGGGGGGCACCGCACACGGCUAAAAUAUCGUAUAUCAAGUGUGUUCUUAGGUGCCCCCUGCCCCCGUAUAUAAAGGAGCAAGGGGGAGGCCGGCUGCCUAUGGGGCGCGCCAAGGAGAGGGGGGGAGUCCUCCUCCUAGUAGGAGUAGGACUCCCCUUUCCUAGUCCUACUAGGAAAAGAAGGGGGGGAAGGAAAGAGAGGGAGAGGGAGAGGGAAAGGGGGCUGCGCCCCCCUCUCCUAGUCCAACUAGGACUCCUCUGGGAGGGGGCGCACCACCUCCUGGCUGCUGCCCUCUCUCUCCCCUCAAGGCCCACUAAGGCCCAAUACUUCCCCGGGGGGUUCCGGUAACCCUCCGGCACUCCGGUUUAAUCUGAAACUUCUCCGGAACACUUCCGGUGUCCGAAUAUAGUCGUCCAAUAUAUCAAUCUUUACGUCUCGACCAUUUCGAGACUCCUCGUCAUGUCCGUGAUCACAUCCGGGACUCCGAACAACCUUCGGUACAUCAAAUCACAUAAACUCAUAAUAUAACUGUCAUCGUAACUUUAAGCGUGCGGACCCUUUGGGUUCGAGAACUAUGUAGACAUGACCGAGACACCUCUCCGGUCAAUAACCAGUAGCGGGACCUGGAUGCCCAUAUUGGCUCCCACAUAUUCUACGAAGAUCUUUAUCGGUCAGACCGUAUAACAACAUACGUUGUUCCCUUUGUCAUUGGCAUGUUACUUGCCCGAGAUUCGAUCGUCGGUAUCUCGAUACCUAGUUCAAUCUCGUUACCGGCAAGUCUCUUUACUCGUUCCGUAAUACAUCAUCCCGCAACUAACUCAUUAGUCACAAUGCUUGCAAGGCUUAUAGUGAUGUGCAUUACCGAGUGGGCCCUGAGAUACCUCUCCGACAAUCGGAGUGACAAAUCCUAUUCUCGAAAUACGCCAACCCAACAAGUACCUUUGGAGACACCUGUAGAGCACCUUUAUAAUCACCCAGUUACGUUGUGACGUUUGUUAGCACACAAAGUGUUCCUCCGGUAAACGGGAGUUGCAUAAUCUCAUAGUCAUGGGAACAUGUAUAAGUCAUGAAGAAAGCAAUAGCAACAUACUAAACGAUCGGGUGCUAAGCUAACGUAAUGGGUCAUGUCAAUCACGUCAUUCUCCUAAUGAGGCGAUCCCGUUAAUCAAAUAACAACUCAUGUCUAUGGCUAGGAAACAUAACCAUCUUUGAUUAACGAGCUAGUCAUGUAGAGGCAUACUAGUGACACUUUAUUUGUCUAUGUAUUCACACAUGUAUUAUGUUUCCGGUUAAUACAAUUCUAGCAUGAAUAAUAAACAUUUAUCAUGAUACAAGGAAAUAUAUAAUACUUUAUUAUUGCCUCUAGGGCAUAUUUCCUUCAAUUUGGACAUCGGAAUGGUUCCGGGUGAGAUCGGGAAUAUACUGGAGUACCAGGAGGUUACCGGAACCCCCCGGGACGUAUAUGGGCCUUAUUGGGCCAUAGUGGGAGAGAGGAGAAGGGAGCAAAGGAGGGGGCACGCCCCCAGCCCAAUCCGAAUUGGGAGGGGGGCCGGGCCCCCUUUCCUUCCUCCUUCCUCCCCCUUCCUUCUCUCCUAAUCCAACUAGGGAAGGGGGAAUCCUACUCCCGGUGGGAGUAGGAAUCCCCUUGGGGCGCGCCUAGGGGGCUGGCCUCCUCCCCCUCCUCCCCUCAUUUAUAUACGGGGGAGGGGGCACCCCAUAGACACACAAGUUGAUCAUUGAUCUCUUAGCCGUGUGCGGGGCCUCCCUCCACCAUAACCCACCUCGGUCAUAUCGUCGUAGUGCUUAGGUGAAGCCCUGCGCCGGUAACUUCAUCAUCACCGUCAUCACGCCGUCGUGCUAACGAAGCUCUUCCCCGAAGCUCUACUAGAUCGUGAGUUCAUGGGACAUCACCAAGCUGAACAUGUGCAGAUCGCGGAGGUGUCGUACGUUCGGUACUAGGAUCGGUCGAUCGUGAAGACGUAUGACUACAUCAACCGCGUUGUCAUAACACUUCCGCUUUCGGUCUAUGAGGGUACGUGGACAACACUCUCCCCUCUUGUUGCUAUACAUCACCAUGAUCUUGCAUGUGCGUAGGAAAUUUUUUGAAAUUGCUGCGUUCCCCAACAGAUUUCAAUACUCAAGCAUACCAACAAGCAACCAUGUCUUUCAAAAUAUCACACUAAAGCAAGUUAUCCCUAGCCCAUUAUGCUCAAUCAUUGAUCCAUUCAUGAAACACACUCGCAUAUUAGCUACACCCAAUGCUCAAGUACGAUCAUAGUGCCCCUUAGUUGGUGCUUUAUAAGAGAAGAUGGAGACUCAAAUAAAAAUAAAAAAUUGCAUAAAGUAAAUAGAAAGGCCCUUCGCAAAGGGAAGUAGGGAUUUGUAGAGGUGCCAGAGCUCGAAAAAAGAUAGAGAUAAAACAUUUUGGGUGGCAUGCCUUUCCUGUCAACGAAAACGAUCGAGUAGUUCCCAAUACUUUCCAUGCUAGGUAUAUCAUAGGCGGUUCCCAAAUAGAAAAUAAAGUUUAUUCCUUUUUCCACCAUACUUUCACAUUCCACGGCUAACCGAAUCCAUGGGUACCGUCCAUACCAACACUUUCCAAGGAAUUUAUUAUUUGACAACAUAAAGUAAAUUCAUUUCUCAUUUCGGGACUGGGCAUCCCUAGUACAUUUGUCGUACUCUCGUGCAAUGACAAGUGAAUAAACACUCAUCUUGAGAAUAACACAUCUCGCAUGGAAAAAUAUCAGCCACCCCCUACCGUUUCAUGAGCAGUACUAGCACACAAAAAGGAAAUUUAUUUUGAAGAUUAGAGAUGGCACAUACAAAUUUGCUUAGAACGGCACGGAAAUACCGCAUAUAGGUAGGUAUAUUGGACUCAUAUGGAAAAAAUGGGUUUAAGAAUUUUGGGUUCACAAGUAGUAAUCCCACUUAGUAUAAGUGAAGGCUAGCAAAAGAUUGAGAAACAUCCAACCAAGAAAUUAAAAACCUCAUAAGCGAGCAUUAAGCAUAACUAACACCGAAUAAUGCACCACAAGUAGGAUGUAAUUUCAUUGCAUAACUAUUGACUUUCGUGCUUGCAUAAGGAAAACAUCAAUAUUCUUACUAAAGCAUAAUUACUCAUCAACAUGACUCACAUAUUAUAUCAUCAUACCACAAAACUAUUACAAAGAAUCAAGUUUAUUUUAUCCAAUGAUCUUCAUGAAAGUUUUUAUUAUACCCCUCUUGAAUAUUUAUCACUUUGGGACUAAUUUCAUAUGUUGCUUUUGAUAGCUCAAACAAAUCUAAGUGAAGAACAUGAGCAUAAAAAAUUUCUUCUCUCAAAAUAACAUAAGUGAAGCAUGAGAGAAUUUCUUACAAAUUUACUAACUCUCAAAUAAAUCUAAGUGAAGCAUGAGAGCAUUUCUUCAAAAAUAUUAAAGCACACCGUGCUCAAAAAGAUAUAAGUGAAGCACUAGAGCAAUUCCAUAGCUAAAAAAAUUAAGUGAAGCACAUAGAGCAAUUCUAACAAAUCAUAGCAUAAUUUUGGCUCUCUCAAAUAGGAAUAGAAUAAAAAUCAAAACAAGUAAAGACUCAUAUAAUACAAGAUGCUCCAAGCAAAACUCAUGAUAUGUGACGAAUAAAAAUAUGGCUCCAAGUAAAAUACCGAUGGUUGUUAGAAGAAAGAGGGGAUGCCACUUGGGGGCAUCCCAAAGCUUGGUUGCUUGUUCCUCUUUGGAUAAUAAUUUGGGGUGCCAUGGGCAUCCCCAAGCUUAGGCUCUUCUUACUCCUUAUUCCUUCAUCCAUCGUGAUCUCACCCAAAACUUGAAAACUUCAAUCACACAAAACUCAACCAAACCUUCGUAAGAUCCAUUAGUAUAACAAAGCAAAUCACUUAUCUAAGUAUUGUUGCAAACCCAUUCAUAUUUUAUUUUUGCAUUAUAUCUAUUGUAUUCCAACUUUACAAUAGCUUAUACCCUCCAAUACAAACCAUAUAUAGAUUCAUCAAAAUAAGCACACAACGCAAAGAAAACAGUAUGUGUCAAAAACAGACCAGUCUGUAGCAAUCUAAAAACUUCGAAUACUUUUGUAGCUCCAAAAUUAUGAAAAAUUAGGACAAUGUGUGCAAUUUGUAUAUCCAUUAUGUGUACAACAAUCGAGAUUUUAUCGCACUUUUGUGAAAUUAUAAUUGUUUUACUGGGUGCAAAAAAUUCUGUUUUUCAAAAAGAUCAAAUCAACUAUCACCCAACAUGAUCCCAAAGGCUUUGCUUGGCACAAACACUAAUUAAAACAUAAAAAACACAAUCAUAAUAGUAGCAUAAUUUUGCAAACACUCAAGAACAGAAAGAAAAAGACAAAAGUAAAUUUUAUUCAUGCAUUGGGUUGCCUCCUAACAAGCUCUUUUUUAUAGCCAUUCAGAUAGGCUUAAGAUUUCAACGAUGCUCACACGAAAGAUAGUAAUUGAAACAUGAAGAUAGCAUCAAGUAGCAUGUGAAAAACAAGUUUAAGUCUAACAUACUUCCUAUGCAUAGGCAUUUUAUAUGCAUUCAAAUUAUCAAGAUAAGCAAAAACUAGCAUAUGCAAGGAAGAAGAAAGAAACAAUAGUAAUCUCAACAUAACAAGAGGUAAUUUGGCAACAUGAAAAUUUCUACAACCAUAUUUUCCUCUCUCAUAAUAAUUACAUGUAGGAUCAUAAUCAAAUUCAACAAUAUAGCUAUCAAAUAAAAUUUUCUUUUUAUGAUCCACAUGCAUGCAAAGUUGACACUCUUCCAAAAUAGUGGGAUUAUCAUCAAAUAAAGUCAUGACCUCUCCAAGCCCAAGAUUGAACACUCUCCAAAUAUGUGGGAUUAUUUUUAGUUAAAUUUGACACUCUUCCAAACCCAGUUUUAAUAUUAUCGCAAGCAUAUUCAUCAUGAGGUUUGAAUAAAUUUCCAAGAUCAUAAGAAUCAUUAUCACCCCGAUCAUGAUCAUUGCAAUAAGUAGUGGACAUAACAAAAUAAGCAUCCCCAAGCUUGGGGUUUUGCAUAUCACUAACACAAUUGACAUUAAUAGAAUUCAUAAUAACAUCAUUGCAAUCAUGCUUUUCAUUCAAGGAGCUAUCAUGAAUCAGUUUAUAAAUUUCUUCGUUUAACACUUCAUCACAAUUUUCAGAUUCAUGAAUCUCAAGCAAAACUUCAUAAAGAUAAUCUAGUGAACUCAAUUCACUAUCAAUUGGUUCAUCAUAAUAAGAUCUUUUGAAAAAAUUAGCAACUAGGUGAGGAUCCAUAUCAAUAGAAUUUCAGUGAGCAAAGAUGCAAGUAAAUGGAAGGCACAUGGCAACAUAAGCAAAGACGCAAACGACAAAAAGGCAAACGAAAAAAGAAGGCAAAUAAAAAGGAAAAUAUUUUUGUGCUUUUGCAAAACGCUUUAGAAGUGGGGGAGAUGAAAACAAGAGGAAAAUGGCAAAUAAUGUAAAUUGCAAUGAGAUGAUAUUUGUGAUUGGGAACCUGAUAGAUGUUGAUGAUGUCUCCCCGGCAACGGCGCAAGAAAUUCCUUCUGAUGCGGCUUGAACUACGUCGGUAUUUCCCCGAAGAGGAAGGGAUGAUGCAUCACAGCUACGGUCGGUAUUUCCCUCAGUGAUGAGACCAAGGUUAUCAAACCAGUAGGAGAACCACGCAACACUAUGUAAACGGUACCUGCACACAAAGAACAAAUACUUGCAACCUGACAGGUAAGAGGGGUUGUCAAUCCCUCCCGGGUAAAAAGAUAGAUAAAUUUGUAGUAGAUUGGAUAAAUAGAUCUCGCGGAAACGCGAAAUAAAAUAAAUAAUAAAAAAUUGCAGCAAGGUAUUUUUGGGUUUUUCGAUUAAUAGAUCUGAAAAUAAAAGCAAAUAAAAAU
RNAcentral lists this long non-coding RNA (30753 nucleotides) under Triticum aestivum (bread wheat). RNAcentral describes it as "long non-coding RNA (TAES_LNC000694)". The record is from RNAcentral. Lineage: Eukaryota; Viridiplantae; Streptophyta; Magnoliopsida; Poales; Poaceae.